This 775-nucleotide ribosomal RNA is filed under the name uncultured Neocallimastigales. Its description in RNAcentral is "partial large subunit ribosomal RNA". It matches the Rfam family "Eukaryotic large subunit ribosomal RNA", at positions 23 to 639 of the family's 3401-position model. The record is from RNAcentral. Lineage: Eukaryota; Fungi; Neocallimastigomycota; Neocallimastigomycetes; Neocallimastigales.
AGAGAGAGACAUGCGUGCAUAUCAAUAAGCGGAGGAAAAGAAACUAACUAGGAUUCCCUCAGUAACGGCGAGUGAAGCGGGAAGAGCUCAAAUUUGAAAUCUUCAAGGUUCUACCUUGACGAAUUGUAGUUUAAAGAAGUGUUUUCUGUUGGAGUUUUGGUAAAAGUUCUUUGGAAUAGGACAUCAUAGAGGGUGAGAAUCCCGUAUUUGACCAUUUACUUUCAGCUUUGUGAUACACUUUCAAAGAGUCGGAUUGUUUGAGAAUGCAGUCCAAAAUGGGUGGUAAAUUUCAUCUAAAGCUAAGUAUUGGCGAGAGACCGAUAGCGAACAAGUACCGUGAGGGAAAGAUGAAAAGAACUUUGAAAAGAGAGUUAAACAGUACGUGAAAUUGUCAAAAGGGAAGCGUUUGACACCAGUGUUGUUUUCUCGAAAAUCAAUUAAAAAAGGCAGGAUUUUGUGUUGUAUUGACUUUAUCAGCUUUCUGCACUCUUUUCUUGUCUUUUUUAAUGCACUUUUCGUUUAACAAGUCAACAUCAAUUUCUUUUGUUGUAAAAGGGUCAUUGGAAGGUGGCUUUCUUUUCGGAGAAAGUGUUUAUAGCCUUUGGCCUCUGCAAUCGGAGAGAUUGAGGUCUGCAGCGUAGAUCCUUCGGGGUUAGAUACAUUUGUGCUAAGUUAUAGCCUUUCAUAGACAACUUGUUGACUAUGAUCAGUCAUGUAGCUUACUCGCUUAUGCUAUUUUACCUACGCUUAGGAUGUUGAUGUGAUACUGCGAGCA